Molecule: ribosomal RNA, 509 nt
Filed under: Salmonella enterica
Lineage: Bacteria; Pseudomonadati; Pseudomonadota; Gammaproteobacteria; Enterobacterales; Enterobacteriaceae
Description: partial 23S ribosomal RNA
Source: RNAcentral
CCGGAGAAUGUUAUCACGGGAGACACACGGCGGGUGCUAACGUCCGUCGUGAAGAGGGAAACAACCCAGACCGCCAGCUAAGGUCCCAAAGUCAUGGUUAAGUGGGAAACGAUGUGGGAAGGCCCAGACAGCCAGGAUGUUGGCUUAGAAGCAGCCAUCAUUUAAAGAAAGCGUAAUAGCUCACUGGUCGAGUCGGCCUGCGCGGAAGAUGUAACGGGGCUAAACCAUGCACCGAAGCUGCGGCAGCGACACUGUGUGUUGUUGGGUAGGGGAGCGUUCUGUAAGCCUGYGAAGGUGGCCUGUGAGGSWUGCUGGAGGUAUCAGAAGUGCGAAUGCUGACAUAAGUAACGAUAAAGCGGGUGAAAAGCCCGCUCGCCGGAAGACCAAGGGUUCCUGUCCAACGUUAAUCGGGGCAGGGUGAGUCGACCCCUAAGGCGAGGCCGAAAGGCGUAGUCGAUGGGAAACGGGUUAAUAUUCCCGUACUUGGUGUUACUGCGAAGGGGGGACGG